UACGUAGGUGGCAAGCGUUGUCCGGAUUUACUGGGCGUAAAGAGCGCGCAGGCGGCCGAGUAAGUCGAAUGUGAAAGCCCCCGGCUCAACUGGGGAAGGUCAUUCGAUACUGUUCGGCUUGAAGAUAGGAGAGGGAAGCGGAAUUUCAGGUGUAGUGGUGAAAUGCGCAGAUAUCAGGAGGAACACCGGUGGCGAAGGCGGGUCUCUGGGCCGAUACUGACGCUGAGGAGCGAAAGCGUGGGGAGCGAACAGG
RNAcentral lists this ribosomal RNA (253 nucleotides) under uncultured bacterium. Its description in RNAcentral is "partial 16S ribosomal RNA". It matches the Rfam family "Bacterial small subunit ribosomal RNA", at positions 524 to 776 of the family's 1533-position model. The record is from RNAcentral.